This 505-nucleotide ribosomal RNA is filed under the name uncultured bacterium. RNAcentral describes it as "bacterial SSU rRNA". It matches the Rfam family "Bacterial small subunit ribosomal RNA", at positions 8 to 507 of the family's 1533-position model. The record is from RNAcentral.
AGAGUUUGAUCAUGGCUCAGAUUGAACGCUGGCGGCAUGCGUAACACAUGCAAGUCGAACGGUGUUUGGUGCUUGCACCAGACAUAGUGGCGGACGGGUGAGUAAUGCGUAGGAAUCUGUCUUAGAGAGGGGGACAACCCGAGGAAACUUGGGCUAAAACCGCAUAUUCUCGAGAGAGGAAAGCAGGGGACCGGAAACGGCCUUUGUGCUCUAAGGUGAGCCUACGUCGGAUUAGCUAGUUGGUAGGGUAAAAGCCUACCAAGGCGAUGAUCUGUAGCUGGUCUGAGAGGACGGACAGCCACACUGGGACUGAGACACGGCCCAGACUCCUACGGGAGGCAGCAGUGGGGAAUAUUGGACAAUGGGGGGAACCCUGAUCCAGCGAUGCCGCGUGUGUGAAGAAGGCCUGCGGGUUGUAAAGCACUUUCAGUGGGAAAGAGAAGCGUCUUGUGAAUAAUGGGACGUGGAGACGUUACUCACAGAAGAAGCACCGGCUAACUCUGUG